CCUACGGGAGGCAGCAGUGGGGGAUAUUGCACAAUGGGGGGAACCCUGAUGCAGCGACGCCGCGUGAGCGAAGCAGUACCUCGGUAUGUAAAGCUCUAUCAGCAGGGAAGAAAAUGACGGUACCUGACUAAGAAGCCCCGGCUAAAUACGUGCCAGCAGCCGCGGUAAUAUGUAGGGGGCCAGCGUUAUCCGGAUUUACUGGGUGUAAAGGGAGCGCAGGCGGCCUGCCAAGUCUGGUGUGAAAACCCGGGGCCCAACCCCGGGCCUGAAUUGGAAACGGGGGGGCUGGAGUGUCGGAGGGGCAGGCGGAAUUCCUGGUGUAGCGGUGAAAUGCGUAGAUAUUAGGAGGAACACCGGUGGCGAAGGCGGCCUACUGGACGAUGACUGACGCUGAGGCACGAAAGCGUGGGGAGCGAACAGGAUUAGAUACCCCAGUAGUC
RNAcentral lists this ribosomal RNA (440 nucleotides) under uncultured bacterium. RNAcentral's name for it is "partial 16S ribosomal RNA". It matches the Rfam family "Bacterial small subunit ribosomal RNA", at positions 338 to 795 of the family's 1533-position model. The record is from RNAcentral.